GACGAACGCUGGCGGCGUGCUUAACACAUGCAAGUCGAACGGAAAGGCCUCUUUCGGGGGGUACUCGAGUGGCGAACGGGUGAGUAACACGUGAGUAACCUGCCCUUGACUUUGGGAUAACUUCAGGAAACUGGGGCUAAUACCGGAUAGGAGCUCCUGCUGCAUGGUGGGGGUUGGAAAGUUUCGGCGGUUGGGGAUGGACUCGCGGCUUAUCAGCUUGUUGGUGGGGUAGUGGCUUACCAAGGCUUUGACGGGUAGCCGGCCUGAGAGGGUGACCGGCCACAUUGGGACUGAGAUACGGCCCAGACUCCUACGGGAGGCAGCAGUGGGGAAUAUUGCACAAUGGGUGGAAGCCUGAUGCAGCAACGCCGUGUGCGGGAUGACGGCCUUCGGGUUGUAAACCGCUUUCGCUCAUGACGAAGCUUUGUGUGACGGUAGUGGGUAAAGAAGCACCGGCUAACUAUGU
RNAcentral lists this ribosomal RNA (466 nucleotides) under uncultured bacterium. Its description in RNAcentral is "partial 16S ribosomal RNA". It matches the Rfam family "Bacterial small subunit ribosomal RNA", at positions 28 to 506 of the family's 1533-position model. The record is from RNAcentral.